GACGAACGCUGGCGGCGUGCUUAACACAUGCAAGUCGAACGCUGAAGCUCAGCUUGCUGGGUGGAUGAGUGGCGAACGGGUGAGUAACACGUGAGUAACCUGCCCUCUUCUUUGGGAUAACGCCCGGAAACGGGUGCUAAUACUGGAUAUUCACUGAUUCUCGCAUGGGGGUUGGUGGAAAGGUUUUUUCUGGUGGGGGAUGGGCUCGCGGCCUAUCAGCUUGUUGGUGGGGUGAUGGCCUACCAAGGCUUUGACGGGUAGCCGGCCUGAGAGGGUGACCGGUCACAUUGGGACUGAGAUACGGCCCAGACUCCUACGGGAGGCAGCAGUGGGGAAUAUUGCACAAUGGGCGAAAGCCUGAUGCAGCGACGCCGCGUGAGGGAGGGAGGCCUUCGGGGUGUAAACCUCUUUCGCUCAUGGUCAAGCCGCAGCUUUGGGUUGUGGUGAGGGUAGUGGGUAAAGAAGCGCCGGCUAACUACGUG
RNAcentral lists this ribosomal RNA (482 nucleotides) under uncultured bacterium. RNAcentral's name for it is "partial 16S ribosomal RNA". It matches the Rfam family "Bacterial small subunit ribosomal RNA", at positions 28 to 507 of the family's 1533-position model. The record is from RNAcentral.